ACUCUGACUGCCCAGGGCCAUCCCCUUUUAGCCCAUGUGCCCACUUGGCAUGUCCCCAGCCCCUUCCCCCUGCCUGUGUUUGUGUUACUACUGUCUACACAUAUACAGAUUGCAGCCCGAUCACCACGUUGGCACUUCAAAUGCUCAGCACCUGUUUUGAAGGUUAACAGAUAGUGACAAGUAUAAUCACAGCCUCUUCUAAGUUUUAGCCUGCCAGCCAGUCAAUUAUUUUAGUAUUUCUGGUAGCUUGUUUCUCCUCCCACACACAUACCCCACCACUCUGUAAGCCAGCUCUGCAGGCAGUUGCAACACACUCUACUUUGGGAAGAUGCCACCUUUUCUUUCUCCCCUUUCUGGCGGUUGACAGCUUUUGAUGCUGUCCUUCACCAUGCCAAAGCACUACACCAUGACACAGCUCCUAGGUUGAUGCUUCUAAGCUUUGUCCACCUGUUAUUGGAAGGUGCCACCUCAUGAGGAGAGGCUACCCCUGAGGCUCCAGCCUCACUUUCCACCUCCAUGGGCUCUGAGUUCCAUGGCCAAAAGGAUUAAUGAGCCACACAACUCAUGGUUGCACGCUGUAGGCUUGGAGAUUUGAGCUGAGGACACUGAGGGCAGGAAAUGGAGGGAUGAGCCAUGAUGCUAGCUCACAUAUCCUCAUCUAAACGUACCUGUGACCAGAAAAUUCCUCCUAAGCCCAGUGUGUAGGGCUUUCAAUUGUAAGAGAGAGUACUUUGACAGAGGUCUUCACCCCAGGCAACCUAGGCGAAAGUAUUGUGCAGGGAGGAAAACAGGGAAAAGGGCACUAUUUUCUUUCAUUUUAGACCAGAAAGGAGAAACAAGGCCCUCUCCCUUCCCUCCAAAGAUGUCAGCAGGACUAUGGUUGUUCAAAGUCUAUCUCUAUUAGCAAACCUGAUGACCCAAGCUAAGCAGCAUUGAUGCCAAACGACAGUCCUCUCUUCAGGGUGCAAUGCACUGCAAUUGAUUACUGAGGAUAGAAAGGAAAUGUCAAACCUGGUGGACAAAACCUGGAUGGGAAGAGGCAAAAAAUGCCAGGUUGCUGCUUCAAGAAACAGACAGUCAACUUUUUAAAAGAUACAUUAUUUUUUCCCCACAUAAACUGAAAAAAAAGGAAAGAAAAAAAAGCAGCUGGAAAUGCCAAAUUAAAUGGUCAUCAAAUCUGCUGACCAAAAUAAAGCAAACAUAGCAGCACUGGAAAGAGCUGUUAGGAGAUGACAGCCUUCAGCUCUUCUUGACAGUGACAUCCAUUGCUCACUUCCCAUGCAGCAGGUAUGCGUCCUAAGGUUGCAUUAGAGCCAAUUGAAGGCAGCACAUCUCUGCAGAUGAGUGGUAGGAUUUGAUGUGAGAGGGACAAGCCUGGAAGUGAUGCCAAGAUGAGAACAGACAGAAAGAACAAGCCCAGAUCCCACCUGCCCUGUCCACAGAGAGUGCUGGCAGAGGCCAAGGAGAAGGCAAAUGUGGGACUGACUCCUGUGCAUCACAGAGUGCCUUUGUAGCACCUGAAGGUACUGGUUUAGCAGAUCAACCCAACUGGUUUCAUUUGUUACCUGGACCAUGGAGCGUAAAGACACAAAUGCAGGUGAUAACAGCUCAGCCAGGGCAGCUCACACAGGUUCAUCAUCCACUUAGUAGGACAGAAUCUCCUCCAUUGCUCUAGAGCACUGGUACAUAAAGGCUGCCCUGGAUGCUAAGAAAUGACUUACCAAAACAGUUUACAGAAGCAAAAAGUGUGAUUUGAAGGCUGCUUGCUCAGGCUACACACCAGCAGUGCUCUGUUUGGAGGCCGACAACCCUUCUGUGGGAGGAGACAGUGUGAGGUGAGGAGGUGGGUGCCAAGUUCUCUUCAUCCCUUUCCAGCCACAACACUGCUACUAAAUUUAGAUGAAAUCAUUUUGCACACCGUGCUCUUCCCAGUCACACCAGGCAACCUGAACUCGAUCCACAGCCCAGACUUAUUUCUGUUCACCUGGUGACCACACAUACCUCCAGAACAUCCCAUGACUUCAAGGUCUGCCGGGGUACCCAGCCAUCACUGCAUAGGAAAAGCCAGAAAAAUGCAUGGAAGUUGAUAAUGUGGUGAAUCCAACAUUCCCAGGAAGAGCUGGGAUCUGCGUGUUGUCUAAUUAUUGCAUAACGCAAGUCAAUGUAACUCCUCCAGUACAAAUAAGGGCCGUGUUAAAAACAAAGCUGUUCCCAAAGAGACCUAACUUCACAAACACUUUCUUUUUAUUUUCCUGAGAGAAAGCAAAUGCUUUUUCCUUGAGACAGGAGAGGAGGAAAUAGCUGCUCAGAGCUCCCAUGUCCUCAACUACAUGACAGGUUGGUAAAGAGCAAUGAAACAGCACAUUGACUAAGCUUGUACUAUUAAAUUCAAACUAGCAAUGCCACAAGAGUUUUCCCAGUAUCAUAUAAUCAAAUGAAACCAAAAUUUCCAUUCCAACUGCACUAAUGCCAUUGGAAUGAUGAGUCGGGAAGCACCAGGAAAGGUCAUGCUGUAAAAUAAGCACUUGGUGCUUAGUUUGCAGACGAGCUUGGGUUUCUACAUGGCAUGGAUUGGGGGUUAUUAUCCGUUUUUAUAUACUUCUUUUUGUCAUAUUUUAGAAGCAGAGCUUUUAGAAGCCUGAGAAACAGUAUGUUUACAUAGUGCCUGUAAAAAAACCAAUAAUUAAAAUACUCUGCAGUAUAUUGUUAAUCUGAUAUCAAAAAUAUCUGAAAAAAACAACGCCAUUAGCAAAAAAUCAUAGGAUCUGUCCUCAGAAAAAGGAAGCGACACAACACACCUAUAUUCCACAAUGACAUCCAAAAGUUUCCCAUUUGUCAAAGCCAAAAUAUUGUCAUGAGCACAGCAUGUCUGAAUGAAAUCCAAGAUGGGUGGGUGAGUGGGAAAAUGCCAGAUCCUUUUAUUUUUUUCCUCAAAAAUUUAUGAAAGGAAAUAGUAAUUUCAUUUACAAAGGACUUCUCUUUGGAAACAUCUAUUUAAAAAAGGGAAAAGGAGAAAACACCAACAGCCAAUUCUAGCUACAUACAAUCUUGCCAAAGCAGUCUUUGUAAUUAUAUUACUCAAGAGAGAUCUGGGCUGAGACUUGAGUUCCCCAGUGUUUAUGUAAUUAAAUACAUAACAACAUGAAAGAAUUUGUUGUUUUUGCCACGGUCAGCUGUGGCCUGGGCUGGAAGCUGUGGCCAAACUACCAGCAUCAGGCCCUGUGAGUUUGUUUUUCCCUAAGUAAUUCUGUAUAGACUGCAUGUGAUCUCCAAACAAAGACAUGGCUGAUAGCACCCAGCGUCAGUGAUCACAACCCACCCCAAAAGCUCCCAGACAUGCAUCUUGUACAGUUCAUUCCCUUUUGUCAUUUGCUGCACUGUCAUUUGCUGAGCUGCUCUCCAUCAUAUUUGAAAAUCAUGGCUGUCUGGUGAAGUCCCCAGUGACUGGAAAAAGGGAAACAUUACUCCCAUUUUUAGGAAAGGGAGAAAGGAUGACCCAGGGAACUACAGGCCGGUGAGCCUCAGCUCUGUGUGUGAGAAGAUCAUGGAGCAGAUCCUCCUAGAAGCCAUGUUAAGGCACAUAUGAGAUAAAGAGUUGAUUCAAGACAGCCAUCAUGGCUUCACCAAGGGCAGAUCGUGCCUGACCAAUCUGGUGGCCUUCUAUGAUGGAGUGACAGCUUCGGUGGACAGGGGACGGCCAGCAGGGAGCGGGAGGUGAUUGUGCCCCUCUACUCGGCUCUUGUGAGGCCCCAUCUGCACUACUGCAUCCAGGCCUGGGGCCCCCAGUACAGGAAGGACGUGGAGCUCUUGGAGUGGGUCCAGAGGAGGCCACUAAGAUGAGGUGCUGGAGCACCUCUCCUAUGAGGAAAGGUUGAGGGAACUGGGCUUGUUUAGCUUGGAAAAGAGAAGGCUCCAGGGAGACCUCAUUGUGGCCUGCCAGUACUGGAAGGGAGCAUAUAAACAGGAAGGGGAACGGCUGUUUACAAGGGUGGACAGUGAUAGGACAAGGGGGAAUGGUCUUGAACUGAGACAGGGGAGGUUUAGGUUGGAUAUUAGGAGGAAGUUUUUCACACAGAGGGUGGUGACGCACUGGAACAGGUUGCCCAAGGAUGUUGUGGAUGCCCCAUCCCUGCAGGCAUUCAAGGCCAGGCUGGAUGUGGCUCUGGGCAGCCUGGUCUGGUGGUUGGUGACCCUGCACAUAGCAGGGGGGUUGAAACUCAAUGAUCAUUGUGUUCCUUUUCAACCCAGGCCAUUCUAUGAUUCUAUGAUAUAAUUCUAUAAUUCCAUCACAGGAUUCAUCAGUUUCAGCUGCUAUGUAAAAACAGAUACAGAAGAGAGGAAAAUUAUUGACUUAACAUGUUAAUGCUGAAUUACUCUUUAUGAACCAGCAAAUAAUAUAAAGCAACUAUAUAAGUUGACCAAACUUAUAUAGUUUGACUAUAUAGUUUGACCAAAGCCUUUAACCCAGAGUAAUCUGGAAGAAGUCUCAGAUUUCUGUUUCAAUAUCUGUUUUUACCAUAGAGGAUAAACAAUUUUUGUGAUACAGACUUGGACACAUCUCUGUUUAUGAUAACUUGUCAACGGGAAAGAAGAGAGCCAAAUGAAUUAGUCUUUCACUCCCUGUGUAUGAAAAUGGGGAUGGACAUCUGGGCUGUUGAUUUUUAGCCUAAAUAUCAGCUCAGCAUCACAUGCAUUUGGGACUCUAGAAAAUAAAGCCAUCUAUAUCACUUAUGCAUAACAGAAAACAGUGGACAACAGGAAAAACCUCCUUUGAAUUUCAGUUGAAGGUCUUAUUUGAUCUACAAAGACCUACUCCCUGACACAUGGCUGAGGGGAGUCUCAUGCCACUGAGUCAUUCCCCAUCAUCAGCAAAGCUCCAUCCAGACUUGGUCACCAGGGCUGAAAAAAAGCUGACCCUAGCAUGGGAGGCAAAACAGGGAGAUCAUCUUCUAUCUCAACUCAUCCCAACAUAGUACUUCACAUCUUGAGCACCACAGAGCAACAGUAUAGGAGACACCAGCCUUGUGCUGAGUGGUUCAUCUUCCUUGGUUUUCAGCCAUGACUCAGCAGUUGGCAGCACGAGACACCCCUGCUCUCCCACCCCAAGGACAUCAUAUAUAUGUUCAUUUUAAAUAUAGGGAGGUGAUCCACUCCUCUAGCACAAAUGCUUAGCCAAUUAGAUUGGUCUGAGUGUCCUCAGCAUUUAAGCAGAUCACUGACAAAAAUAGAAAAUCAGAAGGACUUGGAAGCUAUUUUGGUCUAGGCUUUGACUGUAAAAGGUAUGGCUGAUAACUGAGACCACUGGCUCCAUUACAAAUAAACGCUCCAUUUAGAGUAGACAGAUGAACUGAAUCAAAUAGAUGAGCUUCUGUUUUUACAUCUUGGUAAGUGUUUUGCUAUGAGAAAUAGUCUUCACUUGAUCUACAUUGCCUUAUCUCAAUGUCCCCUACAAAGAAAGCAAUUAUCCCCUACUGUCCCCAAAUAUCUUCUCUCUUUCACAGAUAUUCAACUACCACUCUAUACAAAUGUUUUCAGAUAUUGUCUUUUGAUUCAGAGCACCACUAUCCAUACAUGAAAAUGCAGCUCAUAUCUUGCAGCAAUAUGAGAGGACUUCAGUUUCCAGUAGAUAAGAUUGCUGCACUAAACCACAUCUUGGAAUGUAAUAUCCAGCCUCUGAUCUCCGUGUGACCCACUAUUUUCCUCCCACUGUAGCAUGUGAGAAAUUUUAAUGGUCUUUUUUUCUCAGUCAACACCUGUGAGAGGGAGGGAAGUAUCAUUAUCUCAGUUCUACAGAGGAUCACCAUUAGCAGAAACAAGCUAAGGUCAAGGUUAUCUGAAACGUCUACAACCCAGCCAGAAAUAGUUCUUCUGGGUCCUUCUGAGGCUUUGACCACACACUGAAAAAAGUCAGCAUUUCAUUCGAACAAACACUGAAUCAAAAAAUGGACGAACAACUCAAAAUGAGACAGUGGCAGAAUAUCAGUUUGCAACCUCUUUCCUAAUACAGGCAUCUCAACUGAACGCAUGGAGGAAAUGUGUGAAAAGCACUUCCUGUGCUGUUUUGCUCACUUUGCUCCGGUAUGCCAAGGAUACUCAACAAUACGUGUCUUGGAAAUUUUCAAACUGUUUCUGGAGUGCCAAGAUAUAGUAGAUGAUACCUCCUAACAAAUCACCUUGGACUUCCCUUGAGGAGAAACUCACUACUGGAGUCCAGCCUGACUGUAGAAUUAUGGAAUAAUUCAUGUUGGAAGGGGCUUCUGGACACCCCUACUCUAACCUCUGCUCAGAGCAGAGGACUCAACUUCUGAGCAGUCUGCUCCAGCUGUCAAUAUUGUCAAGGAUGGAGAGUCUCCAAAAAUCAAACUACUUGAAGAAGAGCAAUAAAUAAUGGAAUCAAAUUCUUCUUGGCAGUGGUGAAAAGUCAAGUGAGGAACAGUAAUAAAGGGUAGAAGAAGAGGUUGCUAGACUGCACUUAGGAAGCUCAGAUUGGCCACUAGGACACUUGUUUUUUUUUUUCCUGGAGAUGGAUGGUGCAGCUCUGAGACCUACAUCUGGAGAGGAGGAACACGUCUUGUUUAGUGAAUGGGAAGAACCACUGGGAGGAUGAAGCAAGGUCAUGCAGCAGAAUGGGG
Molecule: long non-coding RNA, 6632 nt
Organism: Gallus gallus (chicken)
Lineage: Eukaryota; Metazoa; Chordata; Aves; Galliformes; Phasianidae
Source: Ensembl